UAGACACAGAAGAUGCACAAAAACAAACACAACGGUAUGCAAAAUGAGGCAAGAUGCAUUUAUGGAAACACAGAGCCGCAAACCACAUGGUGGGAUGAUUAGUGGGGUUUUGUGGGGUUUUUCCGUCUGCGCUGCUCUUCUGGACGGAGUCACGAAUCCAGUCACGAUUUUAGUCAAUCUAAAGACGAUGUCACUUUGACUGAAGGAUGACAUAAAGGACAAUGACGAGCUCCAUUCAAAAGAAAUGUGUCUCAUAGUUGCUCUGAUGAGCAAAUCCUGCAUAGUCCACAAUCCUAAAGCCUCUCACAGGAAGGGACUGGAAGCCACCUCCACGUCCCUGCUGCAGAGUUCAGCCCGGUGCCAAUGCUGGCUCCGUGCAUGUUAAAGAUCUGUGACCACGGCCCAUCAGCAAAGUUUGUUUUCUCGCAUAAUAAAUAGAAGCGACAGGAUUUCCCUUUUGUCUGAGUUGCUUUCUCAGGAGGAUCUCUUACUGUUCAAACACCAUCAGAUAACCAACAUUUAUUAAUCUGCUUUGUUUUCAGAAGACUUUGGAAAUCGCUGGAGGACGAGGAACCAGCGGAGCCAAUUACGCUGGUUUAUGUGUCGGUAUGAAACGCACCCAGACCUCGGAGAGCCCGAGCGUCGAGUCCAGUCACUCCUCUUCUUUCCACUCCUCUCUCGCCAUCUUUCCCUUCUGAGGUUUUCAUCAUGUUUUAUUUACACGUCCGACCAAAAGAAUCCUAUACACAGGAAAUGCUUGUGAUUGUGAGUUCCUCUCCUCAAAUGUGGGCAAGUUUAUUUAUUUCAAGCAAACAUUCCUGAUUUGCACAGCGCUAGCCUCAAACAGUGCAGCUUUUUCAGCGGAGUGUGAGUCUGAGCGGCGGGCCUAUAUUUAGACAUGGCUGCUCUGUGUUUGUAAUGAUGCUGUCAGCACAGCGCUCUGAUUUCCUGCAGGUGUCAUUCUACAACAAGUCGCUCACAGACCCUCGUUUGGGACUUUCAGCACCAUCAGACCUUAAAAGGCUUCUCAUUAGCUAUUUAUGACUCCCGGUCCAGAGCAAAAGCAGGGUUACCAUUGUUAUUCAGCUGUUAGCAUUAGCGGUGAAACCAGGAAACACAAGCUGUGUCUGUACGUUAAACUCGUCACUUCUUCCAGGUAUGAAGCCAGUGACUACAGUCAGUGCACAGUGAAGAAGACUUAUGAGAUCCAGAUUUAAUUAUUUUUGGAAGAAUUCCUCCAUUGAGAGAGCGCUCAAAAUUUCUUGAAUUGAAAGAAGAGAAAGUGGAAGAAAUCAUUUUGAUAUUCCCGAGGAAACAGUCACACUCCAGCCCGGAUCUGUCUGGAUGCAAGGAGGGAAUUUACAGCCUGAUGCAGACUGCUCCAGCUUGUGUAUUAAUGGAGCAAACAGACAUAAGAUAGAUUGCAACAAAUGAUGAUAAUUGUUUUGUAUAAAUAUAGAAUCAAA
Molecule: long non-coding RNA, 1466 nt
Organism: Pundamilia nyererei
Lineage: Eukaryota; Metazoa; Chordata; Actinopteri; Cichliformes; Cichlidae
Exons: 3
Source: RefSeq, a predicted model, not a curated record